UUAUUUUUUUAUUUUCCUUAAAUCUGCCACAACUAUGUAGCUAUAAAUGACUGUUCUCCACCCUUCCCCGUUGGCCAGUCAGAUAUCUGCGCCAAAUGUCAC
This is a long non-coding RNA of Thalassophryne amazonica, 102 nucleotides long. RefSeq lists it as uncharacterized. The record is from RefSeq and is a predicted model, not a curated record. Lineage: Eukaryota; Metazoa; Chordata; Actinopteri; Batrachoidiformes; Batrachoididae. The transcript is spliced from 3 exons.